GGUUGAUCCUGCCAGUAGUCAUAUGCUUGUCUCAAAGAUUAAGCCAUGCAUGUCUAAGUAUAAGCAAUUUAUACAGUGAAACUGCGAAUGGCUCAUUAAAUCAGUUAUCGUUUAUUUGAUAGUACCUUACUACUUGGAUAACCGUGGUAAUUCUAGAGCUAAUACAUGCUAAAAAUCCCGACUUAUGGAAGGGAUGUAUUUAUUAGAUAAAAGACCAAUGCUCUUCGGAGCUCUUUGGUGAUUCAUGAUAACUUUUCGAAUCGCAUGGCCUUGCGCUGGCGAUGGUUCAUUCA
This 293-nucleotide ribosomal RNA is filed under the name uncultured eukaryote. RNAcentral's name for it is "partial 18S ribosomal RNA". It matches the Rfam family "Eukaryotic small subunit ribosomal RNA", at positions 6 to 301 of the family's 1831-position model. The record is from RNAcentral.